Molecule: ribosomal RNA, 422 nt
Filed under: uncultured bacterium
Lineage: Bacteria
Description: bacterial SSU rRNA
Rfam family: Bacterial small subunit ribosomal RNA
Source: RNAcentral
UAAGGAAUAUUGGUCAAUGGAGGCAACUCUGAACCAGCCAUUCCGCGUGCAGGAAGACGGCCCUCUGGGUUGUAAACUGCUUUUAUUCGGGAAUAAACCUAUCUACGUGUAGAUAGCUGAAUGUACCGAAGGAAUAGGGAUCGGCUAACUCCGUGCCAGCAGCCGCGGUAAUACGGAGGAUCCAAGCGUUAUCCGGAUUUAUUGGGCUUAAAGGGUGCGUAGGCGGCCUAUUAAGUCAGGGGUGAAAGACGGUAGCUCAACUAUCGCAGUGCCCUUGAUACUGAUGAGCUUGAAUGAACUAGAGGUAGGCGGAAUGUGAAAAGUAGCGGUGAAAUGCAUAGAUAUGUCACAGAACACCGAUUGCGAAGGCAGCUUACUAUGGUUUUAUUGACGCUGAAGCACGAAAGCGUGGGGAGCAAACA